AACGCAGGUGGUUUGGUAAGUCAGAGGUGAAAGACCACAGCUUAACUGUGGCACUGCCUUUGAUACUGCCUUUCUUGAGUAGAGUAGGGGGAAGCGGAAUUCCGAGUGUAGAGGUGAAAUUCGUAGAUAUUCGGAGGAACACCGGUGGCGAAGGCGGCUUCCUGGACUCUAACUGACACUCAUGUUCGAAAGCGUGGGUAGCAAACAGGAUUAGAUACCCUGGUAGUCCACGCCCUAAACGAUGGGCACUAGGUGUGGGAGGUAUCGACCCCUUCCGUGCCGCAGCUAACGCAUUAAGUGCCCCGCCUGGGGAGUACGGCCGCAAGGUUGAA
This 332-nucleotide ribosomal RNA is filed under the name uncultured bacterium. Its description in RNAcentral is "bacterial SSU rRNA". It matches the Rfam family "Bacterial small subunit ribosomal RNA", at positions 568 to 898 of the family's 1533-position model. The record is from RNAcentral.